UCACGUGGCUGCCAUUUACUGCGCGCUGGCGUGUUGUGUGUCGUGGUGCGUGUGGCAUGAGACCCGUAAUGUUGUGCUACAGGUGAUUCUUUCUGCGAAUCAUUGCCUCACCAGACCACGCAUACGCCGGACACGUACUGAGUGUUGACCAGAUACUACGUGCUGUUCCGUGUCGCAACUACGUCCAAUAAUUAUUUCGGCGAGGCAGAUGGAAAUACCUACUGUUUGAUCACACGCUAUUUCGCGCGCCCUGCGUUCCGGCGAAAUCCGCAGCAAGUCAACAACGCAAGGUGUGGAAGCAUUGCAACGAAAACGUCCGGGAAAGCACCACGUACCUUCACACGUUCUCUGGAGACCUCCUUCCAGGACCUUACAUGUAUGCGCGCCAAGCUUGGGGAGACUUCAGUAAGGCAGGAAUUGUUUGUUCCAGCUGCAGGGUAAAAGGCCAUCUCUGCAAUCUCCAGUCACCCCUGUCGUGCGCGAGCUGACUACAUCAUCACUACCGCAUCUGAGCUUGACACUCAAGCUUUACAGCACUUCCCCUUUCAUUUUGCUAUACCCCUGUCACAGAAUUGGAGGCUGCGAACGGCAAGCUUCGAAGGUGCCGUAAACUUCGUUGCCCUGUGCUUUUCCUGGACCUGGCGGUCUGACCUUUUGAAUCCGCGUCGCAUUGCUGCCGGCCACAUCACCUCAAAGAUUCUAUGCAAGCGCUGUUGUUACCAC
RNAcentral lists this long non-coding RNA (723 nucleotides) under Dermacentor andersoni. Its description in RNAcentral is "uncharacterized LOC126519737". The record is from RNAcentral. Lineage: Eukaryota; Metazoa; Arthropoda; Arachnida; Ixodida; Ixodidae.